Molecule: microRNA precursor, 132 nt
Filed under: Populus trichocarpa (black cottonwood)
Lineage: Eukaryota; Viridiplantae; Streptophyta; Magnoliopsida; Malpighiales; Salicaceae
Description: miR399h stem-loop (ptc-MIR399h)
Gene: ptc-MIR399h
Source: miRBase by way of RNAcentral
AAACCAGUUGCAGGGCACCUCUCUUCCUUGGCAGACAGUACUAAUGGUGCCUAUAGCUUCAAGCUGAGAGGGUAUGCGAGAAUCUUGAUCCCAAUAUAGGCUUGCCAAAGGAGAGUUUCCCUGUGACCGUUU